Small nucleolar RNA from Callorhinchus milii (elephant shark), 185 nucleotides. The record is from RefSeq and is a predicted model, not a curated record. Lineage: Eukaryota; Metazoa; Chordata; Chondrichthyes; Chimaeriformes; Callorhinchidae.
UUCACAAAGUAGAUGACCAGUUUAGUUUAGUUUAGUAAACUAUGACAAAGAUUCUCAUUAUAUGUUCUUUGUAAAGUAGCCCAACUUACUUUUGAAGUGAACAGAAAAUACCAAUAUCAUGCACGAAUGCAUUUGUGGUUUGCAGUGUAAUUUUCAGUGACAGCCCCAGUCUCGUCUGAAUAACA